RNAcentral lists this ribosomal RNA (2903 nucleotides) under Escherichia coli. RNAcentral's name for it is "23S ribosomal RNA". It matches the Rfam family "Bacterial large subunit ribosomal RNA". The record is from RNAcentral. Lineage: Bacteria; Pseudomonadati; Pseudomonadota; Gammaproteobacteria; Enterobacterales; Enterobacteriaceae.
GGUUAAGCGACUAAGCGUACACGGUGGAUGCCCUGGCAGUCAGAGGCGAUGAAGGACGUGCUAAUCUGCGAUAAGCGUCGGUAAGGUGAUAUGAACCGUUAUAACCGGCGAUUUCCGAAUGGGGAAACCCAGUGUGUUUCGACACACUAUCAUUAACUGAAUCCAUAGGUUAAUGAGGCGAACCGGGGGAACUGAAACAUCUAAGUACCCCGAGGAAAAGAAAUCAACCGAGAUUCCCCCAGUAGCGGCGAGCGAACGGGGAGCAGCCCAGAGCCUGAAUCAGUGUGUGUGUUAGUGGAAGCGUCUGGAAAGGCGCGCGAUACAGGGUGACAGCCCCGUACACAAAAAUGCACAUGCUGUGAGCUCGAUGAGUAGGGCGGGACACGUGGUAUCCUGUCUGAAUAUGGGGGGACCAUCCUCCAAGGCUAAAUACUCCUGACUGACCGAUAGUGAACCAGUACCGUGAGGGAAAGGCGAAAAGAACCCCGGCGAGGGGAGUGAAAAAGAACCUGAAACCGUGUACGUACAAGCAGUGGGAGCACGCUUAGGCGUGUGACUGCGUACCUUUUGUAUAAUGGGUCAGCGACUUAUAUUCUGUAGCAAGGUUAACCGAAUAGGGGAGCCGAAGGGAAACCGAGUCUUAACUGGGCGUUAAGUUGCAGGGUAUAGACCCGAAACCCGGUGAUCUAGCCAUGGGCAGGUUGAAGGUUGGGUAACACUAACUGGAGGACCGAACCGACUAAUGUUGAAAAAUUAGCGGAUGACUUGUGGCUGGGGGUGAAAGGCCAAUCAAACCGGGAGAUAGCUGGUUCUCCCCGAAAGCUAUUUAGGUAGCGCCUCGUGAAUUCAUCUCCGGGGGUAGAGCACUGUUUCGGCAAGGGGGUCAUCCCGACUUACCAACCCGAUGCAAACUGCGAAUACCGGAGAAUGUUAUCACGGGAGACACACGGCGGGUGCUAACGUCCGUCGUGAAGAGGGAAACAACCCAGACCGCCAGCUAAGGUCCCAAAGUCAUGGUUAAGUGGGAAACGAUGUGGGAAGGCCCAGACAGCCAGGAUGUUGGCUUAGAAGCAGCCAUCAUUUAAAGAAAGCGUAAUAGCUCACUGGUCGAGUCGGCCUGCGCGGAAGAUGUAACGGGGCUAAACCAUGCACCGAAGCUGCGGCAGCGACACUAUGUGUUGUUGGGUAGGGGAGCGUUCUGUAAGCCUGUGAAGGUGUGCUGUGAGGCAUGCUGGAGGUAUCAGAAGUGCGAAUGCUGACAUAAGUAACGAUAAAGCGGGUGAAAAGCCCGCUCGCCGGAAGACCAAGGGUUCCUGUCCAACGUUAAUCGGGGCAGGGUGAGUCGACCCCUAAGGCGAGGCCGAAAGGCGUAGUCGAUGGGAAACAGGUUAAUAUUCCUGUACUUGGUGUUACUGCGAAGGGGGGACGGAGAAGGCUAUGUUGGCCGGGCGACGGUUGUCCCGGUUUAAGCGUGUAGGCUGGUUUUCCAGGCAAAUCCGGAAAAUCAAGGCUGAGGCGUGAUGACGAGGCACUACGGUGCUGAAGCAACAAAUGCCCUGCUUCCAGGAAAAGCCUCUAAGCAUCAGGUAACAUCAAAUCGUACCCCAAACCGACACAGGUGGUCAGGUAGAGAAUACCAAGGCGCUUGAGAGAACUCGGGUGAAGGAACUAGGCAAAAUGGUGCCGUAACUUCGGGAGAAGGCACGCUGAUAUGUAGGUGAAGUCCCUUGCGGAUGGAGCUGAAAUCAGUCGAAGAUACCAGCUGGCUGCAACUGUUUAUUAAAAACACAGCACUGUGCAAACACGAAAGUGGACGUAUACGGUGUGACGCCUGCCCGGUGUCGGAAGGUUAAUUGAUGGGGUCAGCGCAAGCGAAGCUCUUGAUCGAAGCCCCGGUAAACGGCGGCCGUAACUAUAACGGUCCUAAGGUAGCGAAAUUCCUUGUCGGGUAAGUUCCGACCUGCACGAAUGGCGUAAUGAUGGCCAGGCUGUCUCCACCCGAGACUCAGUGAAAUUGAACUCGCUGUGAAGAUGCAGUGUACCCGCGGCAAGACGGAAAGACCCCGUGAACCUUUACUAUAGCUUGACACUGAACAUUGAGCCUUGAUGUGUAGGAUAGGUGGGAGGCUUUGAAGUGUGGACGCCAGUCUGCAUGGAGCCGACCUUGAAAUACCACCCUUUAAUGUUUGAUGUUCUAACGUGGACCCGUGAUCCGGGUUGCGGACAGUGUCUGGUGGGUAGUUUGACUGGGGCGGUCUCCUCCUAAAGAGUAACGGAGGAGCACGAAGGUUGGCUAAUCCUGGUCGGACAUCAGGAGGUUAGUGCAAUGGCAUAAGCCAGCUUGACUGCGAGCGUGACGGCGCGAGCAGGUGCGAAAGCAGGUCAUAGUGAUCCGGUGGUUCUGAAUGGAAGGGCCAUCGCUCAACGGAUAAAAGGUACUCCGGGGAUAACAGGCUGAUACCGCCCAAGAGUUCAUAUCGACGGCGGUGUUUGGCACCUCGAUGUCGGCUCAUCACAUCCUGGGGCUGAAGUAGGUCCCAAGGGUAUGGCUGUUCGCCAUUUAAAGUGGUACGCGAGCUGGGUUUAGAACGUCGUGAGACAGUUCGGUCCCUAUCUGCCGUGGGCGCUGGAGAACUGAGGGGGGCUGCUCCUAGUACGAGAGGACCGGAGUGGACGCAUCACUGGUGUUCGGGUUGUCAUGCCAAUGGCACUGCCCGGUAGCUAAAUGCGGAAGAGAUAAGUGCUGAAAGCAUCUAAGCACGAAACUUGCCCCGAGAUGAGUUCUCCCUGACCCUUUAAGGGUCCUGAAGGAACGUUGAAGACGACGACGUUGAUAGGCCGGGUGUGUAAGCGCAGCGAUGCGUUGAGCUAACCGGUACUAAUGAACCGUGAGGCUUAACCUU